AAACAUCUAAGUACCUGGAGGAAGAGAAAGAAAAAUCGAUUUUCUUAGUAGCGGCGAGCGAAAGGGAAAGAGCCCAAACCAAAGAUUUAUCUUUGGGGUUGCGGACAGAACAUUAACGAGAAAUUAUAGUUAGCCGAACACAACUGGAAAGUUGGACCGUAGGAGGUAAUAGUCCUGUAGGUGAAAAUUAUAAUAAUCAAGUUCUGAUCCAGAGUACCACGAGACACGUGAAACCUUGUGGGAAGCAGGGAGGACCACCUCCCAAGGCUAAAUACUACCUGAUGACCGAUAGUGAAGCAGUACCGUGAGGGAAAG
This 315-nucleotide ribosomal RNA is filed under the name Clostridium botulinum. RNAcentral describes it as "partial 23S ribosomal RNA". It matches the Rfam family "Bacterial large subunit ribosomal RNA", at positions 196 to 513 of the family's 2925-position model. Lineage: Bacteria; Bacillati; Bacillota; Clostridia; Eubacteriales; Clostridiaceae. The record is from RNAcentral.